Molecule: long non-coding RNA, 480 nt
Organism: Lutra lutra (Eurasian river otter)
Lineage: Eukaryota; Metazoa; Chordata; Mammalia; Carnivora; Mustelidae
Exons: 3
Source: RefSeq, a predicted model, not a curated record
UCUUGCUCCCCAACACUUAGAAGUCACCUUUAAUAACAGAAUUCAGAUCCAUAAUCGUUUGAUUUCCCCCGGUCUCCACCUUGGACAAUGGAAUGAUUCCUGAAUAAUAAGAAUCUGCAGUUUCCAGAUUGAGCCCUGAAGUUUCAUUAUUUAGUGCUGAAUGGGAGGAAGAGCAUAUGAAUGAAAUUUUAACAUUUGCCCCAGGAAAUAAACAGGAGACUAAACACCCACAUGGAAGAUGUCUUCCCUAUACCAGGAGGAAAACAGCAUUCUUUUCACCGAGGAUGGGGAGUUGAUGCCAAGAGAAAUCUGCACAAAGAAACCUUUGUUAAACUAACCCUUAUCUUCCUAGCAAUUUUUCCACCAUGAACUGCCCUAGCCAAAACCCUUCCAUCUUGUGACAUUUUCAUGAUUCACUCUUCUGUCCAAUUCAGUCUAUAAGCAGUCAACUCUAACUGCUUCUCUGGGUCUUCAUUUACU